This 750-nucleotide ribosomal RNA is filed under the name uncultured bacterium. RNAcentral's name for it is "bacterial SSU rRNA". It matches the Rfam family "Bacterial small subunit ribosomal RNA", at positions 45 to 758 of the family's 1533-position model. The record is from RNAcentral.
GGCGAAACAUGCAGUCGAGCGAGCUUGCCUAGAUGAUUUUAGUGCUUGCACUAAAUGAAACUAGAUACAAGCGAGCGGCGGACGGGUGAGUAACACGUGGGUAACCUGCCCAAGAGACUGGGAUAACACCUGGAAACAGAUGCUAAUACCGGAUAACAACACUAGACGCAUGUCUAGAGUUUGAAAGAUGGUUCUGCUAUCACUCUUGGAUGGACCUGCGGUGCAUUAGCUAGUUGGUAAGGUAACGGCUUACCAAGGCAAUGAUGCAUAGCCGAGUUGAGAGACUGAUCGGCCACAUUGGGACUGAGACACGGCCCAAACUCCUACGGGAGGCAGCAGUAGGGAAUCUUCCACAAUGGACGAAAGUCUGAUGGAGCAACGCCGCGUGAGUGAAGAAGGGUUUCGGCUCGUAAAGCUCUGUUGGUAGUGAAGAAAGAUAGAGGUAGUAACUGGCCUUUAUUUGACGGUAAUUACUUAGAAAGUCACGGCUAACUACGUGCCAGCAGCCGCGGUAAUACGUAGGUGGCAAGCGUUGUCCGGAUUUAUUGGGCGUAAAGCGAGUGCAGGCGGUUCAAUGAGUCUGAUGUGAAAGCCUUCGGCUCAACCGGAGAAUUGCAUCAGAAACUGUUGAACUUGAGUGCAGAAGAGGAGAGUGGAACUCCAUGUGUAGCGGUGGAAUGCGUAGAUAUAUGGAAGAACACCAGUGGCGAAGGCGGCUCUCUGGUCUGCAACUGACGCUGAGGCUCGAAA